This 26-nucleotide transfer RNA is filed under the name Ammothryon grandiflorum. RNAcentral describes it as "partial tRNA-Leu". Lineage: Eukaryota; Viridiplantae; Streptophyta; Magnoliopsida; Poales; Cyperaceae. The record is from RNAcentral.
AAAAUCCGUCGUCUAGUACUUCUUCU